This is a non-coding RNA of Myodes glareolus (Bank vole), 13587 nucleotides long. The record is from RefSeq and is a predicted model, not a curated record. NCBI's taxonomy places the organism in Eukaryota, Metazoa, Chordata, Mammalia, Rodentia, Cricetidae.
GCAGGUGCCUGAGGAAGUCUGUGGCUUUGUAUUCCCUGGAGCUGGAGUUACAGGAGUUGGUUUGCCACCCCAAGUGGGUGCUGCUACCAAACCCUGGUCCUCUGGAAGAGUAGUGCACGCUCUUUAGUUUUCCUAGACAGGGUUUCUCUGUGUGGCUCGAGCUCUAGACCAGGUUGACCUUGAACUUGCAGAACUCUGCCUGCCUCUGCAUCCUGGGUGCUGGGUUUAAAAACAUGCACUACCACGGCCUGGCUGAGUAAUGUUUGCUCUUAAUGAAUGAGCCAUCUCUUCAGCCACAUGCAUACAUUUUGUUAUGGAUGCUAUCAGCGUUAGCUACAGUUUCAGACACUCUUGUUCCUUUCAUUCUCUGGCUUAUAAAAUAGUGAGAUUUUUAUAAUGUGGGCAUUUGCACAAGUUUGAACAAAAGUAUUUGUUUCUAGCCAAGAGGCCCUUGGAAGUGCACAAAGAAAUGGGGCCUUUUCUUUGGAUAACCAUUCUCCAGUUUUGAGAACUGAGGGACUAAGGUAUACAGUUUGUUGUUUGAAAGGAUGGUUAUAACAACCUUCACAGAACUGUGCAUCCUGGUCAUUCAAUGUUUUAUACACACACACACACACACACACACACACACACACACACAUACACACACAAACACGGUUAACAUUACUUAUUUACUUAUUUUGAAACUGACUGGGUGUUUGCAUCCUACCUAACACGAUGUUCUGAGGUCUAUAAACACCCUGGAAUGAUUCACUUUAGCUAAUGAACAACUGCAUUACCUCACAUUAUAGUUUUAUGGCAAAAGCACAUAAAAUCUCUCUAAAUUUCUCAACAAUAUAACACAGAUGUUCCUUAAUAUAGAGAUAGUGCUGUUUCCAGAGAAACGCAUCACAAGGUGAAAACGUGCUUCCCCAUCUCAACCUAGCCUGUCUUACAUAUGCUCAGAGCACUUGUAUCAGUCUGCAGUGAGGCAAAAUCCACCAGUAUGAAGUCUGGUUCAUGUCUAAUACUGCAUACUGCAUGCAAUUCCUGCACACUGCACUGAAAAUUAAAAGCAACCUGAUUGUAUGGAUAGUCACCACAAAAGUACAGCUAAUGUAUAUUUAAGUUCAGUUUUUACUUAAUUGGUAUAGAUUUUGGUAGAUUUCCUUCUUCUUGUGGGCAAAGAACUGCCUACUGAGCAUACACACCACAUUUCCUUUAUUUAGUAUACCCACUGAGGGUCGUGUAGCCUGGUUUGUGUUUUAACUAUUAUGUGUAGUGCUGCUAUAAACAUGGGAAUUCAGCAUCUCUUUGACGUGCUGAUUUCCUUUCCUUUGGAGAGACACACAUUGCUAUGUCAUGCAGCCAUCAACUUUCAAUCUGGGGAACCCGUGCAGUUUGCCAUCACAAAUCCUUGGCUUUGUCUAGGCAUGAACAGUGAGUCAGCAUCCUCUGGACUCUACGUUUUGGCCAGAUCCUAUCUCAUGUCCUUUUGAAUGAUAGCCAUGCUAGCUGGGGUGUGGUGCUAUCUAUUGUGGUUUUGAAUUGUAUUUCCCUGGUGGCUGGCAAUAUGGAGCCCUUUCCACAUACUUGUUGAGCAUUUCUAUGUCUCUUUUGGGAACUGGUUAUCCGGGCCCAUUUUAGAACCAUAUUUCACAACGUAGUGGUUUGAAUUCACUACAUGGUCGCACUUAGACUAUAGUUUUGCUCUAGCAGGGGCAUGGUGAGUCUAUAGCCAUGGGUUCAGAGCAGUUUAGUUCACUAAAUAUGGCCCAAAUUUCUGUUACACCUUUUUAAGGUGUUGGUCUUCUAGUUAAAGCAGAUCAUGAGGGUCCGUUCUCAUCUGCUUACUUGAAAUAAUCACCAUAAUAGGACAACCAGAUUGAAAGAAGAGUUUUAAGACAUUAACUAUCAGAGAACUCAAGACAGUGAUACAGACAGAUGGAAAAUACAAGUGGAUAAACUGCAAUUGUCUAGCUUAUGACAUUAGAGAGAUGAAAGGCCAUGACUGACAAAGGGAGAGCCUAGGUGGAGCUUGGUAGACACUCUGAGCAGGGGAGGCCAGGGUGUUCAAAUGGCAGAGUACUAUGGAAGAGAGAAAUGUAUCCUUGGCAUGCAUGCAGUGCCUUGAUUUACACUGAUCUCCGCAGCAUCUACUAAAUACACAGAUCUUUGCAAUGAUUCCUUAACAUUCAGGACUUUCAUUUGGAAAAACCUUUGGAAAUUAGUGCAUUUUUCAUUCUCAUUUCUACUUAAGAGCAUUCAUAAGCCAUUAUCAAGAUGGGCAAGAAUGAUUUCUUAUUUAUGCUUAAUUUGACAGCUGCUUCAGAGUCUACAAAACUUUGAGCCUACAGUUCUGCCAUCUCAGGAUGGUCUGUGCAGUAUGUUAACCAUUUUUGUGGAGAAACAGAGCAAUCUGAGAAGGGAAGUACCUGGAGGAUCAGAGGAGAGUGGAAAGAAUUAGAAAAGGCAGUCAGUCAGUGGUCAUACCAAAGUGAUGCUGAGCGCGAGUGGCCAGGCAAAGUCUGAACAGUGUUCUCUUACCGUCUUACGGACAUUCCUUGGUAGUGGCUCCAGAAGAAGAAGUUUAAACCUUCUACUGAAAAAUAUCUGUCCUCUUCAUUGGCUCAAAAAUGGAAAUAAAGAAUCCAUUUCAGUUUUAUUGAACAUUGCAUCUCAUUAUUUAGCUCAGGAUAGCCUCAAAAGUGCAAUGAUCCAACCCUGUCUAGAUACCUCUGGGAUUGUAGUUGUGUACCACCACAAGAGGUAUUUCAAGAUUCUUUUGUUUGCAUGAACUUCAUUCCUUUGGCUGCAAUAUUUAUGUGAAGUUUAUUCAACAAAAACUGUAUGAUGUAAUAUGUUCUUCAUUAAAUACAGUUUAUCCAUUAUAGAAGUAUAGGAAAUACUUCUGCCUUGGGCAACACAUUUCAUCAGAGAUAGACAAAUGAUGAGAACUUAGAUGGUCAAGACAUUCUUUAAGAUUUAUUUUAUUUAGUAUGUGUGAGUGCUUUGCAUGUUAUGUUAUAUGUACACCUAAUGUCUGCAGAAGUCAAAAGAGGAAGUCAGAUUCCCUGGAUCUGGAGUUAGUGAUGAUUGAGAGACCCUAUGGGGUGCUGGCAACUGAACCAAAGUCCUCUCUCUGGAAGAGCAGCAAGUGCUCGUGACUCCUCAGAUGACUCCUCAGCCCCAGCUAUCCCUUUGUUGAGUCACAUUUCAUCAAAUUGUCUUUCUUCAUUCUUUGAAUUAAUAACAUUAUCCCUCAGGAUUUUCUGUUCUCUAACAGAAUUGGCUAUUGGGUUUUCUUUUCUCCCUGAUUAGUUGCUUCUACUCCUUCACAGGACUAAACCCAAACUGUCGGGUUAGCUCUGUAGUGCUCAAACAUGAAGACACAAAGCCUCUAGCUUGGGCGCACGGAGUGAGAUCGGAGGGCAUUUCCUAUCUGCACCCCCUGGAAAGGGAGAAAUGGGUGGAGUGGAUUCAGCACGACAUUUAUAAAAGUGUUUUCUUCUCGACUCUGGAAAUUUGGGUGAAAAAUCCUUUCAUCCUAAGUGUGGAGUCUGUUUUCCAAGACCCUUUAACACAGUUGGGUGAAGACUACCUUCUGGAGGUCAAACACUUGAUUGACGGCAGAACCCUGCUCCAAGCAACCAGAAGACACUGUGUAAUACCACAGGCAACAAACACAGAGGACUAUUGGUAGGAAAUAGGCUGGAUCCCUGGCUAAGCAAUGGUGCCUCCUGCUAGAAGUGAAAUUGAGGAAGCUGAGGGUGAGGUGAAUGAGAGCCAAGGAGAAGAAAACGAUGGCUGGAUAUUACUACAAAGGCAGAACUGAGAGCGGCACUACAGAAUGUUGGGGUGGGUUCAGGUGAGGUGGCCACUUUCUGCUGAGGUCUAUAUGCGGAAAACUUGCCAAGUCUCAGCCCUAAACUUGAGUACCAGGUUGGUUAAAGGAAAAUCUAUGAAGGAGGUCAGGAUUGUUUCCAAGAUUCUGCCAUGGUUUUCAACACUCCUCUGUCUUUUGGCAGACUUUCUCCAUGCAGGUGUUCAGACCCCCCAUUCCCUUCCCCUGAACCGCAGGGUCACCCACAUUGGAGCAAUCGGUGAAUGACUUUUACAUGCCAAACUUUCCUCCCCAAACUCCGCUUCUUUCUUCGCUGGUAUGCUUGUGCCUUGGUGGAGUUAAUUUGACAACUGAUUGGGUGUCACCGACUGAUGAUCUUGUCCCCUCCCUCUGGUCACAGUUCCCCUGUACCUAACAAACUCAAGUGAGGAUUCUACUGGGAUUUGAAGCCAUGGAGCUUUUUCCUGAGUCGUUUAGAUGGCAGCUGUGAGUAAGGAGAAGCCCGAGAGUGUGGACUUAACUUCUGGAAUCACUGUAUUUUUUGAGAAAUAGAAUUAAGCUGAGCAUUGCUAGGGAGAAGGGUCAAGUUGGCGCUGGAAGGACAGUGGCAUCCGCUGUGGGGAUUGAAUAAAAGCUUGACCAGAGAUAGCUUAGGGGGCUAAAGCAAACCAUUUAAAGGAUUUGGUGGAUGACUGAGGUAAUUCUAUGAACUAUUUUCCCUGAACCAUGGUUUUGGCUAAUGCAUUUCUCCAGGAUGGCUUUUUCUUUUCCUCUACUCUUGAAGGCAGCCUGGCCUCCAUUCUGCCAAUGUUCAUUGGUUCUGUUACAUGUCUGGGAUGGAAAAGGUUGCUUAGGUGUCAGCCAAGACACUCCCUCUGCUUGGGGGAGAGGGAACUGCCAGCCUGACUCUCGAUUUCCUGCCAGUUUAAGGAGCUUAUGACUCAGAUUCAAGCAAAACACCGAACUGAAGCAAGAGGCAAGGGAGGGAACCCAAUCUCUGAUGAGGGCUUUCGGGCCAAACAUCAUCAUUGAACACUUCACUUCGGGGAACCCGAAUCUUUCACACGAGGGCUGUGCCACCCUAGGCAUGGUCUCUGCUUUGAAAACACCUGCCUGGGCAGGCACCCAGACAGCUUUUCCUUCCUCUUCAUAGACAUAUUGUUCCUGAGUUGGAACUUGGAGGCUUGCUUACCUUCUUGUAGGAAAAGCUUCUCUCAGGAGCCAACAUCACUCUUGAGCAUCUCUCGGGUUCUUUGACAGCAGAAAAGCCCUUACCAGAUGGUAUGACUCAGCCAGGGUGUCCACUUGCUCCCUGUUUCCAUUCCUCCCAGAAGGAGGUGUUAAAGGCAGACGAUGGACAUUUCUUGGGAAUAACACUGAAACCCAGACGCUGUGUUUCAAAGUUCUCUGUGGUUUCAGUAGCUUACUGGAUAUUGCUUUAGUGGCUGAGCUAUUGCCAAUAUUAACUUGCUGGUUAUAUGAAAGCCAAACUCUUUCCCUGAGGAAAGGUACUGGGUGAAUUGAGGAGUUCACUGCUUUCUUUACCUUGCUUUUCCAUUACUCAUAGAUAAUCCCGCAGUCUCUGCCUUCUCUCAGUUAUCUUUCUUUCAGUAAAUUUUAGUCCUUUCUCUCUUGGAGCCUUCUCUCUGCUCACUGAAGUGGAAUACAAGAUUUCUUGGGCAUUUGCCAUAGUCUGGAUCUUAGGUAUCCCCCAGUGCCUAUGUAUAAAAAGCAUAGUCCUCUGCUUUGCUACUUUCGGGAAAUGGUAGAAACACCAUAGUAAAGAUCCCGUAAGGGUCUUUAGGUUAUUGGGAGAAAGUCCUUACAGGGCACAGUAAAAACAAUAGCUUGUUUUUAUAGUUUACUUCCUUGCUGUGAGGUGUGCAGUUUUACCCAAUGACUUUUUACAGCAUUAUAAGUGUUCUUAACAUAGACCCCCCAAAGAGCUAUGAACCCAGAUAAACUGUUUCUCUUUAUAAGUUGAUGUAUCUCAGGUGUUUCUUGAAGCAAUAGUGGAAAUGUGACAAGCACAGAACGCAACCACAAAUAUUCAUAUUAAACAGAAUUUACCGUGUGCCUCCUUCAUAUCUGAGUCCAGAGAGUAUGCACAUUUUUAAAAUUCAAUAAUAAAGAAAUCCUAGAUAUUUCAUCAUCAUCCAGGUAGGGCCAAAUGCAUUGGGGCCGUUUGGAAAUAUUUCUGGUAUACUGUCAGCUUGAAUUUCUAGUCUUCUAUCACUUGAUAUACUUCUCUUUAAACUAGCUGAACUGGUCCACCUAUGCAACUCUGUUUAAAGACUCCUCUCUUUUGGAUUGUUUCCCAGACAUUGAUCUCGUUUAAACUAUAAUUAAAAGCCAAGUCUAUCAAUCAUCUUUACUGCAAGAAAAAAAAAAAGGAAAAGGAAAAAAGAAAUUCGAAACAAGUGUGCGAUACAGGAGGGGAAGGAGCUUUGUUGUAUUGUGUUCCUCGGAAAAGCAUGACUAUAAGUCUCCUAUGGGACCCCUCAGUCCUUCGCCAUACAGAGAAGCUCAAAAUACAGAUUGGUUUUGCUGAAGAGCUGUCGAUUCCCGUCAGUAGGCUCCAUUUCCUUCUUUCUGAGGUGAGAUCAUAUUUUCACACUUAACAGCAGCAGACAUGUGGGAACUCAUGUCCUGAUCUACAUGGUGAAAGUAGAGUAACUCAGAGAAGCUAAAUAUCAGUUCGAGCUUAUCUUUAUUGUUCUAGAUCUUCUAUUCUUGAGGACAGACCUUCCUCAAGGGUGCCCAUGACCUAAACCUGCUAGAGGCAGCUUCUCAAGGUUAAGUCUCUGGUGAUCUAAAGCUCCCUACCAUUCUUGCCAGGCAUGCUUGUGUAUCCUUUCGAAUGCUUACACAGUGCUUCUGGGUCGAACAACCCCUAGAAGGUGGUCUCCCCUGUCUCUUUAGAGGAUACUGUGCAUCUUCAAUGCAUGCUUGACGGAAGCCCCUCCCACUUCCAGCCUAUAGUUAGCUCUCUGUAAGGUGCUGAUGUCAAUCAGUGUUGUGGAGUGUUUUCUCUCCAUCAGCUUGUCAGUAAACAUGGCUGGCUAACAACCGAUCUAUAGUAUCUGUGCACAGUUAAAUUGUCCUUUGUCCACGACUUGCGAUUUAUAUCUUCAUUAGUGAUUCAGUAAACAUGGCUGGCUAACAACCGAUCUAUAGCAUCUGUAGACUGUUAUGAUGUCGUUUGUCCAUGACCUGUAGUUUGCAUCUUCGUUAGUAAUUCAGACUGACUGGUGGGAAUUUCCCGGAAACCUUCAGGAGAGGAAUAAGAUUGUCAGACAAGGACUGUGGAGAAGUGAGGAGGGACACAAGGUUUUCAUUUAUUUAAAAAAUGCAAGUUAAUAAUUUAUAUAUUUUGAUGAAAAGUACUUCAGAUAUAUUGAUACAAAACAGGUCUCAUUUCAUAGAAGAAAACAAGGUUUGGGAAGUUUGAUUAUUAAAUCAACCAGUGGGUGACAGAACAGGACAAGAAUCUACAUCUUUUAAUUUCCAGGCAAAUGGAAACCACCCUGUGAAACCAUAGUGUAAUUCUAGAGUGUAAUUGAAGUCAUAGUUUCUAAAUUUUUGUACUUUGUGAUGGGUUUCCAGGAUCCAACCGAACAAUAGGCACUAGAAUUAGGCAAUUUCAUUUUUGUUGGCAAACAAUUAUGUCAGGAGUUCUUUAUGUUCAUUAUAAUGGUAAGUACUGAAAUGAACUUUGUCAUGGUUACCAUGGAGUUAGAAAAAAAUUUCAACAUACUGUAUGAAGCUGUCGACAUAACCCCUCCAGAUGUCACUUCCAAGGUAAAGAUUGUGGUGAUGGUGAGUCCUGGGAAGGAGUCAGCACUUGGAACUCCAGGCAGCCAACUUACAAUGUCCUUCUUACGUUUGUUUAUUUUGGGUGGGCAUGGUUUGGAAAUAGUGCAUGGUUACACUUACUGAUACCAUACAGGCAAAAAAAAAGUUUUAUUUUACAUUCUCCUUCGCUGCUACAAUUGCUCUGCCUCUUCUGCCAUCUCCUUUUCUUUCUCUUCCAACUGGACCCAGGACCAUGGAAAAAGCACAGCACGUUCUUGAGCCCUGAGCCGUGCGCCAGCCUUCGAAUCACUUUACAACAGCUUAUGAAUAUAUUUCUUUUGUGUGUCCCAAAGUGAAUGAACUAAAAAAACCCCUAGUUUUAAAUAUUUUGAAAAAUAUUAACAUCACACACUUUUAAAGAAUAAAAACUGGGGACUGGCGAGGUAGUUUAGUGUUUAAAAACAGUGGCUGCUGUUCCGGUGGUCCUGGGAUCUGUGGCUGGUCAUAAUAUCUGUACCUCUAACUUCAGUUACAGGGUGCCUGGCUCCAUAUUCUAGUCUCCUCAGGCACCAGGCACACAUAUAUAGACAGACAUACACACAGGCAAAACAUUCAUAUACACAAAAUAAUAAUAAUAACAAUUUUAAAAGGUAACAUUUUAUUUGAUAAUCAGUCAUACAAAGUUGUUCUGUUUUAGGUACUUAAAUUAAUUUUGUGAUUUAAGUUUAAUUUUUAAAAACUAAGCUUGCGGAGUGACAAGAAAGACUGUAAGUAUCAUUUUGCAGCUAUUUCAUUUCCUUUGAACUGUUUUCAAUAUUUUGCUCUUUUCUUCUAAUGGAAUUUUUUCGCUAUAAUUAUUAAAGACAAAAUAAAUGACCUGACUGUCUUGUUACUAACCCAGGAAAACUACUAGUCACAGCAUAUCAGCGGUUUUGCUUUCAGCAGGUGUCACUUCCUCCUCGUGGUACUCAGGAAGAUCCUGCAGUUGGUUUAAAGGACAGCUGAGAAGGGUAAGUGCUCACCUGGCCAAUCAUGCUCUGGAGAAACAGAGCUUUGCGGGUAAAUCUGAAAAGUCUGUACAGCUAAAUAGAGUACAGCUAGAAUUUUACACUCUACAUUAAGAAGCAGCACAUUUCAAAGGAGCAUAUUGGAUUUCUUGUGUCCCAAAGACAUGAAAAAUAGAAUAAACUGAAGAAUCAUAGCCCAGUAAACUGCCGACUAAUGUGUAAACACAAUCUCAUCUGCGUGAGCCAUUUCGGUGUUUCAAGUAUUAUGUCCCAUGUGUUUUAUAACAAUUCCAGAAGAAGUCUACAAUUUGAUCAAUAUUUAUUCUGGUUAGUAAAGUAAGUUUAAUUAUAUUAGUGCUGUUUAGGAUUUGGGGUUGAUAUAACUCACUACACACACACACACACACACACACACACACACACACACACACACACAGUAAUGCUUGCUUUAAAUAAAAAGAAUCUUCUUACAUUUUCUCCUUCCAGAUUUUUUUUUUCUCUCCACAAAACCACCUUGUAAUCUAAAAUAGUUUAGAGGAGUUUUUUUUUCCAUCACAAAAGCAAAUGAAAUGGAAAACGUAAGAAUAAGAACAAGAGAAUUCUCCGAUUGAUUAUUAACUAGUAGAGAAAACUAAUUUAGUCCUGCAAAUAAGCAUAGGAUUAAGGAAGAGAGAUGAAAAGUGCUUAGCGGUCAUUCUUGUUUUUCUAUACAUGUCUGUAUCCUGGAUACUUGGAGAGAGCCCCAUGGACUAGCAACAGGAGCAUCUACUGGGAGCCUGUUAGAAAGGCAGAAUCUCUGUUCCCACACCAGGCUCAGAAUUUGCAUUUAACGAGAUCCCCAGGUAACUUGUAUGUGUGUUGAGUGCUGACCACUGAUGACAUGCGGGGCUUUCUUUCCUUUCGAUGCCCAUGGAGCUAUAGAAUUUCUCUGCUGAUGUGAAUGAAUCAAGACUCCCCUCCCCUUCCUAUAAGAGCAGAAACGGAAGGAUCUGAAAGCAUCAGUCCAGAUGGCUAAGAAAGGGCUCCUUUUCUCCUGUUCUGGGGGCUCCUGAACAUCCGCCAAGUCUUCAAGGGGUCAGAUGUGCAUUGACACCCCAUGCUGAGGUUAUUUAUUAAUUUGCUUUCUCACAAGAGGCAGGGUCAGGGUCACUAUAAACAGAACGAGAUUGUUUGCUCAUGUUAGAUUACACUUGUUGUUUCUGGUGGAAAUUAAUUUUCCCUUUGGAAAAGUGUGCUUGCGUCCUAGGGAAUCAAGAAGAUGAAGUGCCUCACUCCAGCCAUGAGCUCAAAAUGAAUUGAAAGAUUGUAUUUCCCUGCCUGGCCUCUGGAUAGCGUUGACACUUCUGCUUCGGGGGCUGGCUGGGCAUGAGCCUGUUGCCCUUUCUAUUUGUGGCCUGGCCAACUAAAUUAAUUCUGCCUGUUAAUUAAUUUUAAGUUUUGGCAAGCAUGUGGAUUGAAGAGGACUGCAUAAUUUCUGGGAAUGGCAAAGAGAAAACAUUGACACUUGUCUUCAGCGCUUAAGAUGUGGACUGAGACUGUGGAGAAAUACCAUGCCUUACCCUCCCCACCCCCAAAGUGUUCAACUGAAUCGACCCACACUUCAGGCUGUGGUGGUCUCCAAGACCGCCACCAAAAGAGAGGAGGGGGGGAACAAGUUUUAUUUUAUCCACAAACAUACAAUCGCAAUCUCUCAGAGGGACAGAUGACAAACCGUAAUGAAGCAAGUCGUAAAGCUUAAAUAUGUGCUCUGGAUGCAGGCAGUGAGCAGGGGGCUCUCUAACUUAGAGGAAAGAUGAUAGACAUCUCAGGAGUUUGCCAAGGAAGAGAAAACAGAAAAAUAAAAACCAUGCAGGCGGGCCUUCCUUAAAUUAAUGACUUUCACCUUUUCUGCAUGCUCGGAUGUCCUGAGACGACUUUAUUGAUCUUGUUCUCACGUUGUCACACAUUAUUGGAAAUGCUGUAAAAAGGAUCACAAAGAUGGUAACAAGUAUAUGGCAGAAGGUUGGUAGGGCGUGAGAAGAUAAUGGGUAUCAAAACGCAGAUGGGCAGAAAGUCCUUUUUCUACAUAGUAAUCCAGUACAGAUGCGGUGGAGAACAGUUAAUUAUCCAUUUCAAGGCGACUACAAGAGCAGGGUUCCAAGGUUCGCAACAUACAGAAAUGAUUCUACUUACGGAGCCAGAGACAGUAAUUAUCCUUAUUAAAUCAUUGCAUACUGCACACAUGUACUCAGUUACAACACUAUCUACCGAUAAGUAAAGAUAAACGCAACUGAAAAAUAAAGGAGAAGAAAUCCUACACCACACUCAGCAUCUCUUCUGCAUAGCUGCAAGCCCUGGGCUCUGUCAUAGGUAAGAACAGCUUGGAGAGAAGGAGACAAGUCCUACACAUACAAAGUGGAAUAGACAGAGAACUGCGAACAGAACGACCAGUUAAUGAACUCCAUAAAAAGAUUUUGUGAUAAGAAGAAAAUAAAUACAAUAACUCAUGUCUUUUUAUUCAUUAAUCACACAUGUAUUUAUUAGUAUUUAUUUUUACUAGUAGAGAAAAACAAGUCUGAUCUAAGAAAAUGACAUAUGGGCUUUCAAGAUACCUUAACAGUGAAACCUUAAACUGGGGAUUGCUGUCUUUUCGGGAAGGUUUUGUUAUUAUUUUAUGUCAUCUUAAACAAUCAUAUACAACAAAGAUAUUAUUAUUUUGAAUGCAUUAAAAAGUAUUGAUCUUUGCAUGAAGACAUAGUAGUCGUUUAUUUAAUGUAAUACAAUAUUCAAAAAUGGGUUAUUAUGAAUGUGAUUUAAUCUUUGGAAGAUAAUUGACAAAUAAUUUACAUAUUCCAUGAGUUAUCCUCUCUCCAUACAAAAGGCAUUAUAUUAAUUUUUAUUAUAAACGGUAGCACACACCUCAUACUAUUGAUAAAAUCCUUCUUAAUUAUUUCAAUUAUAUCUAUGCAUCUGACAUUUUGGCAAGAACUUCCUGCUUAGUGGAUCAAACAAUGAGAAUAUUUAUAUUUGGGGCUUUAAACACUUGCGAAGGAACUCUGUAGUGUUCUAAUGACAUUGGGCUAGGCUACACCCUUAAUUCAAUAUUUCUAUGAACAAUUUUUAUAAAACUUUAGAGAUAAGACACAUAGAUGGAACUUACAAUUAAAACUUUUUAAGUGAAGAAAAGAGACAUAAAUAAUACAAGUUUGAAAAUCCAUAUGAAGGAUAUUAUCUUACUUAAAUGCACACACAUAUGUUGUAUAUAUACAUGCAUAUAUGUAUAUAUUUACUUAUAUAUGUGUGUAUAAGAAUAAUAAUGAAGAUUCCAUGAAUUUACAAGGAGGGUAUUGAGGUGGAAGAGGAUGGGAGAGAGUGAUGUAGGUGCAGUGGUCAUGUAUGAAGUACACAAACAUAAAACAAGAAUUUAAAACCGAACAAGAAAAAAUCUUUAAGGGACAAACCCAAGAAUAAAGAUGAUCUCAACAAUCAGAGACACACUGGGCAGAAAUCAAUGACAUGACAUAAAACAGAACCAAGGUUCAGGUUUUGUUUAGGUCCAGAAGUCAGCUGCGUGAGAGUGAGCUGGCUUGGCCGCAGUACAGAUGGCAAAACUCUGGGAUUUCCAUUUGAUGACAGGCAUAACAUUAGCCAAUAGCAUGGUGUGGCUGUUAGAAAAGUAGCCCAGUGCAGUCUUGGGUUGCAUUUAUGAAAUAUUGCGUCUAGUACGAUGGAAGCAACAGAACAGACAAAUUAACUAAACCCUCAUCUAGCGGAAUGACCCAGAGAAUGACGCUGUAAACCCCUGGAGCUCAGUGUCAGCCCUUCUCUAACCGGAGGACACACGGAGGAAGGAACAGUCAAGUCCCAAGAUUAUCUCUUGUGGAACAUUGGGAGGCACGGGGUGAAAGCCUUCCUGAGUGAGAAAGGACCAGGAUGAAUGUGUUGCAGAGGGCCUCUCUCUGUCUUUACAGGUCGGACAAUGAUACCUAGAAUGCUUGAUUUGAAGGCAGAGAGUGAGAAAUUUACCGGCAUGAAGAACACAGUAAUAUAUUUAGCUCUCUCUCUCUCUCUCUCUCUCUCUCUCUCUCUCUCUCUGUAUGUAUGUGUGUGCAUGCAAAUAUGCUUGCAGGGGAUCAUUUUAUCUUAGCCAAUCUAUAAAGUUCAUCUCUCAGUGAAAACAUAAAUCAGACUAUCUAUGCUGAAAAACAAAAUGUCCAAAAUGUGUAAGGUUAAAACAAUUGUUAUUUUGUUCAUGCUUUAAAGAGUCAGGAACUCAGAGAAGUUGCCUGAGAGAUUCCCACUUGAAGUGUCCGACACCCUUUAGUUGUGGAUUGCAGCUCUGUCAAGGCCUCAUUAAGUUGGAUGUCCAAGGUGGCUCCAUCACCCUGGCUGCACUUGGCUGGAAGCUCUGCAGCAGCUGUCAAUCACACCAAGGAGGAUCCAAGUUUGCAGUUAAGCAAGAUCCUGAAUGGACUCGCAGAAUUCAAAUUUUGUAAAUUCUGAAGAAAACUUGUCAGCCAGUUUUAGCGGCUCACAGCUGGGGAGAGGAAAGGCAAGAAGCGAAGUAAUUAAGCCUCUGGAACCAAACAUGGGUGAACGGUACCAGCAAAAGCGGUGUCAGCUUGCCGGCAAGCUCAGGUAAACAAGUGCAGGGAGAAACAGCAAGGAGAGGUGGCGUGGGAGCAGAAAGCUUUGGUCAUCUUGUUAGGGUUGUGUUCUGAUCACCAUUUCCUUUCUGAGACUUUAAAAUUACUUACUGAGAUUUUGUCCAGAUGACCUGAGCAAUAUAAUCUGGCUAAAUUUUAGUAUAUUUUAGUAUAUUCCCUGAUUAAACACCCUAUUUUUUUAGAGUACUUCUACUGUUCUGCAAAUAAACUCUUCUGUCCAUUAUCACUAAGUCCACGUUCUUUGCUAUACCCACCAUCCCAGAAUGGCCACCAAUCUGCCUUCUUGUCUCCCUGGUUUUGUUCACUAGAAUUUUCA